RNAcentral lists this transfer RNA (73 nucleotides) under Kolteria novifilia. RNAcentral's name for it is "Planctomycetes bacterium Pan216 tRNA-Gly". It matches the Rfam family "tRNA". Rfam says of the family: Transfer RNA (tRNA) molecules are approximately 80 nucleotides in length. Their secondary structure includes four short double-helical elements and three loops (D, anti-codon, and T loops). Lineage: Bacteria; Pseudomonadati; Planctomycetota; Planctomycetia; Kolteriales; Kolteriaceae. The record is from RNAcentral.
GCGGGUGUAGCUCAGCGGUAGAGCACCACGUUGCCAACGUGGCUGUCGUGGGUUCGAUUCCCAUCACCCGCUC